AGUUCGGAUUGUAGGCUGAAACUCGCCUACAUGAAGCUGGAAUUGCAAGUAAUCACAGGUCAGCAUACUGUGGUGAAUACGUUCCCGGGCCUUGUACACACCGCCCGUCACACCAUGAGAGUUGAGAAUACCCGAAGCCCAUGUCAAAGUGGUCAAAGGUAGGCUUGAUGAUUGGGGUGAAGUCGUAACAAGGUAGC
This 197-nucleotide ribosomal RNA is filed under the name uncultured bacterium. Its description in RNAcentral is "partial 16S ribosomal RNA". It matches the Rfam family "Bacterial small subunit ribosomal RNA", at positions 1290 to 1500 of the family's 1533-position model. The record is from RNAcentral.